GGUGAUCUAUCCCACUGUGUUCCAAAGGUGGUAGGGGGUGGUGCAGAAUCACUGAAUUGUAACUAAGAAUUUUGGCCCUUGUAUCUCACUCCAGGAUUACACCCUACCCUGAAUGCACCAUGAAAGAGAUCCCACAGAAGGCCAAGAGACUCCCUCAUGAAGAGACUGCUGCCCUGUCGUGUGAAUAUUUGGUCAUUGAGGUUGCCAACAAAUCCAGGGCAAGACUGGAAACCCCUUAUUCACCUGGAGGGUUUGUCUUCACUAUAGAGUUGAGUUAUAACUCAAGUAUGCCCUUAACUUGAGUCCUGACCUCUCACCAAAACUGUUAAACCAACCAUCAUGCUCCAAGACAUGCAUCUGACGAAGUGGGUAUUCACCCACGAAAGCUUAUGCUCCAAUACGUCUGUCAGUCUAUAAGGUGCCAUAAGACUCUGUCGCUUUUUACAGAUCCAGACUAACGCUACCCCUCUGAUACUUGACAUCAUGCUCCAGUUAACUCCAGUUGGCUGGCUCAUCAGAGGAUAUAGGCUGCAGAGUUAUUUAAUAUUCUGUAGUGUUAUUUCAGUGUGGCCAAUCUCACUUUAGCUAGACUAAAGCUUACGCUAUGUUACAAAGUUUGCUGCCAUAGUUAAGUUGGCUAGAAAUCUGAAAAUAUCACAUUCCCUAGCCAACAUAGGACUAUUUUUGUGAGUAACUGUUCACUAAUGGAAGUAAGGGGUAGCUCCAGGGAGUCAAUCUAUAAAAAAUAUCUUUUUCCUCUCAUUGUCAAUGUAUUCUGCUCCCUAGUGGUUUCUCCAUUAACUGCUUCAAUUUCCACAAGUGAGACAAAGCAUCCAAGGAAAAUUUUGGGGAUUCAUAAACUGCAUAAUCCACUCAUGUGUAAGGCGCACCAUGUUUUCCUCAGAUUAAAUAAUAUUGAAAACUAACAUAUGCAACAUAUAAAACAAGCAUAAUUAAUUACCAAUUAGUCUCAUGUUAAAAGAAAAUGUGUGUAACAAAUAGAUACUAAUUCUAAUAAACAAAGUGAGUGAUCGUAUAUCUCAGAAAAGUGAAGGGUAAUCUAACCUGCAGGUUUACUUUAAUUCCUUCAAGUUCUUUUGAGGUCUUCGACAGUUGACGGAGGAUAUUGCUCCUUUCCUUAAAGACUUCUUUCAGUUGUCUUUCCAGUUCUUCAUAGCCCUGUCUAACACAAAGCACAGGCAGUCCUCUCAAAAUGUCUUCCCAAUGUACUUGAAAUCAGAGUCUUAAUUCAUCCAAUUUUUAUUAAUCAUAAGCAGAAUCCACUUCCAUUCCCCCUUGCACCAUGUUUAGGAAUUGAAAUGUUUUAUGACAAACUGAACUGCUGCAUCUGUGUACACAAAUCCUCAAACCAUCGUGCCAACAGCAACCUAUUCCCUGUUGUGGGCAGGAACAAAUGCUUUUAUAUUUUACACAAGUUGACAGUAAAGCAGGUUUUUCUUUCCUGUGAGAUAUUGCACAGUAGGAAUUAUUGAACUUUGUAGAGUCAGAGAUUUUUGACCAUCCUUGUGGGGAAGGAUGUUCCAAAGAUAUUUGAAUUUUCCCUCCUGUAAUUUAAACCUAUUUUUACCCAAUUAGUGAUUCAGGCUCAGAUCGGGGUUAGGUGUCUAAAUGCCUUUGAAGAUCUGGGUUCAUCAGUUCAUAAAAAGAAACAAAUGUCUCAAUCCUGCAAUACACCAAGACUAUCUUAGGGCCUCAUCCAAAGCCCACUGAAAUCAAUAGUGAUCUUCAGGUUAGGCCCAUAUUGGGCUUCUGAAUCUAUCAAGAGCACUGGCUAUGUUUGGAGAAAUAUUGGCUGAUUCAUUUAGCAAUGGACAGCUCAUCUACUCUGCCUGAAGGAUGGAAGAAAAAAAUAGUGCACUAUUUUGGAUACUUGGUAUAUCUCAAAGCAUUAAUUAAAUGUUGUUUUUCCUACAGUUAUAAGUUUUUAUAUUACUGAUAUUGUUUAGUACACUACUAUACUGAAUUGAAGCUCCAUCAAGAGCAAAUACCUUUAGCUUAUUUUGCCAACAUUUUACAGAUGUGACUGUGAGGAAACAGUGUGGAAAUAUUUGAACUGCCAUCUCUUUAACGAAACUUAUAACAUCUUUAAUUUCUUCUCACUACUGUGAAAACCACUGGGAUGUUUCACUCUGCAACAUAACACCCUGCCUGCCACAGUAAUGCUGACAGGUGGUCACUAUCCAAUUAGUGAUUAAACCUACAUCUCAUACAA
Chrysemys picta bellii (western painted turtle) is the source of this 2233-nucleotide long non-coding RNA. RefSeq lists it as uncharacterized. The record is from RefSeq and is a predicted model, not a curated record. Lineage: Eukaryota; Metazoa; Chordata; Testudines; Emydidae.